Molecule: long non-coding RNA, 653 nt
Filed under: Ananas comosus (pineapple)
Lineage: Eukaryota; Viridiplantae; Streptophyta; Magnoliopsida; Poales; Bromeliaceae
Description: long non-coding RNA (ACOM_LNC030331)
Source: RNAcentral
AGUGAAUGGAGAAUACCGAUGUGAAAAUCCGAAUUUACAAAAUUAUUUAAGGAAGACAUUAGAGUUACUAUGUGAAUUCAGAGAAACUGAAUUCGAACAUUUGAGCAGACAGAAAAAUGAAAAGGCAAAUGAACUAGCUCAGUCGGCUUCAGGAUAUAGAGAGCCGAAGUCAGAGUCAAUAGUGAUACAGAGGAGGUUGCUACCUUUGGUUCAUGUACGAGAACCGAUUAUAGCUCCCAUAGAAACGAAGGAAGAUGAAGAAGAUGACAGAAAGAGGCGAAGAAGAGUUUUCGUUGGAGAAAACGAAAAGAGAUAAAAGAGAUAGAAGAGACAAAAAGAAUGAGAAGUUUGGGGAAGAAGAAAAGGUCGUCGUAUUGAACUGUCGCAUCGAAGCGAGUUCCGAGGUCGGCUAAAAUGAUGAAUAGACAGCGGCAAUUAAAAUGACCUAAUUAAUGCCGCAUGUAAGACAAAAUUAGAGAAUAUGAUCGGGGCCGUAAAAAAGAGAAUAGGUGGACAAGAUUAAACCAUACAGAAGAUUGUGUUACGAAUUGUGUCAGGUAUGUGUACAGGGAAUUUAAAUUUGAUUGGACCGAGGACUACGCCUCGGAUCGCGCUUGUUUUUGGCAACAGAAAAUGGGAUGGUUGAGAUGGAA